RNAcentral lists this ribosomal RNA (482 nucleotides) under uncultured bacterium. RNAcentral's name for it is "bacterial SSU rRNA". It matches the Rfam family "Bacterial small subunit ribosomal RNA", at positions 29 to 489 of the family's 1533-position model. The record is from RNAcentral.
AACGAACGCUGGCGGCGUGCCUAACACAUGCAAGUCGAGCGAGAAAGGGGGAGCAAUCCCCGAGUAAAGCGGCAGACGGGUGAGUAACACGUGGGUAAUCUGCCCUCGGGCGGGGAAUAACAUCUCGAAAGAGGUGCUAAUACCGCAUAACAUCCAUGAGCCUGCGGGUUCGUGGAUCAAAGGUGGGGAUCUUAGGACCUACCACCCGAGGAGGAGCCCGCGCCUGAUUAGCUAGNGGUGGGGUAACGGCCUACCAAGGCGACAAUCAGUAGCCGGCCUGAGAGGGUGACGGCCACACUGGAACUGAGACACGGUCCAGACUCCUACGGGAGGCAGCAGUGAGGAAUUUUGCGCAAUGGGCGAAAGCCUGACGCAGCAACGCCGCGUGGACGAUGAAGGUCUUCGGAUCGUAAAGUCCUGUCGAGUGGGAAGACGAAUGCGGGAGCUAAUACCUCUCGCAUUAGACUGUACCACCAGAGGAA